RNAcentral lists this ribosomal RNA (460 nucleotides) under uncultured bacterium. RNAcentral's name for it is "partial 16S ribosomal RNA". It matches the Rfam family "Bacterial small subunit ribosomal RNA", at positions 338 to 795 of the family's 1533-position model. The record is from RNAcentral.
CCUACGGGAGGCAGCAGUGAGGAAUAUUGGUCAAUGGACGGAAGUCUGAACCAGCCAUGCCGCGUGCAGGAAGACGGCUCUAUGAGUUGUAAACUGCUUUUGUACAAGGGUAAACCUGAAUACGUGUGUUCAGCUGUAUGUACUUUACGAAUAAGGAUCGGCUAACUCCGUGCCAGCAGCCGCGGUAAUACGGAGGAUCCAAGCGUUAUCCGGAUUUAUUGGGUUUAAAGGGUGCGUAGGUGGGUUGAUAAGUUAGAGGUGAAAGGUUCGAGCUUAACUCGGGAACUGCCUUUAAUACUGGUGGUCUAGAGAGUAGAUGCGGUAGGCGGAAUGUAUGGUGUAGCGGUGAAAUGCUUAGAGAUCAUACAGAACACCGAUUGCGAAGGCAGCCUACCAAGCUAUAUCUGACGUUGAGGCACGAAAGCGUGGGGAGCAAACAGGAUUAGAUACCCUUGUAGUC